UAAUAAGUGUUUUAUGGCACUUUUUAAAUCCAUAUCCACCUUGUGUGCAAUGUCAGUCGAUCUUCUUCAUGGAGAUCGGCCAAACAUCAACCUUAUUUUUAACAACUUUGUCUGAAAACCUGUAUGAAUACUUAAUUCAAAUA
Molecule: unclassified non-coding RNA, 143 nt
Filed under: uncultured Mortierella
Lineage: Eukaryota; Fungi; Mortierellomycota; Mortierellomycetes; Mortierellales; Mortierellaceae
Description: sequence contains ITS1
Source: RNAcentral